UUUACAUGAUGAUAAAACUUUUUUCAGUUCUGCUUCUGAACAUACAGGAAGAUAACCCAUUUACCAAAUAUUAUAUCUGAAUU
RNAcentral lists this small nucleolar RNA (83 nucleotides) under Tetrapisispora phaffii CBS 4417. The record is from RNAcentral. Lineage: Eukaryota; Fungi; Ascomycota; Saccharomycetes; Saccharomycetales; Saccharomycetaceae.